AAAUCCAUAUUUUCCCGC
RNAcentral lists this small nuclear RNA (18 nucleotides) under Arabidopsis thaliana (thale cress). RNAcentral's name for it is "snRNA_08778". Lineage: Eukaryota; Viridiplantae; Streptophyta; Magnoliopsida; Brassicales; Brassicaceae. The record is from RNAcentral.